AUAGCACCCCAAACAGGUUCCUGCCUCUUGAUGUAGGCUUGGAUUUGGUAGCUGGUGCUGACAUGAAAACUCUCCACUGCAGCUUGCAGCCAGGCUGUUUCUGUGCUGUCUGCGUUACAAGCAUGGAGAGACAGAA
RNAcentral lists this small nucleolar RNA (136 nucleotides) under Salvator merianae (Argentine black and white tegu). RNAcentral describes it as "Small nucleolar RNA SNORA30/SNORA37 family (ENSSMRG00000008353.1)". Lineage: Eukaryota; Metazoa; Chordata; Lepidosauria; Squamata; Teiidae. The record is from RNAcentral.